GAGUUUGAUCCUGGCUCAGGAUGAACGCUGGCGGCGUGCUUAACACAUGCAAGUCGAACGGGAAACCUUUUAUUGAAGCUUCGGCAGAUUUAGCUGGUUUUUAGUGGCGGACGGGUGAGUAACGCGUGGGUAACCUGCCUUAUACAGGGGGAUAACAGUCAGAAAUGACUGCUAAUACCGCAUAAGCGCACAGGACCGCAUGGUCCGGUGUGAAAAACUCCGGUGGUAUAAGAUGGACCCGCGUUGGAUUAGCUUGUUGGUGAGGUAACGGCUCACCAAGGCGACGAUCCAUAGCCGGCCUGAGAGGGUGAACGGUCACAUUGGGACUGAGACACGGCCCAGACUCCUACGGGAGGCAGCAGUGGGGAAUAUUGCACAAUGGGGGAAACCCUGAUGCAGCGACGCCGCGUGAAGGAAGAAGUAUCUCGGUAUGUAAACUUCUAUCAGCAGGGAAGAUAGUGACGGUACCUGACUAAGAAGCCCCGGCUAACUACGUGCCAGCCGCCGCGGUAAUUC
RNAcentral lists this ribosomal RNA (516 nucleotides) under uncultured bacterium. RNAcentral describes it as "bacterial SSU rRNA". It matches the Rfam family "Bacterial small subunit ribosomal RNA", at positions 9 to 526 of the family's 1533-position model. The record is from RNAcentral.